This 318-nucleotide ribosomal RNA is filed under the name Triticum aestivum (bread wheat). Its description in RNAcentral is "partial small subunit ribosomal RNA". Lineage: Eukaryota; Viridiplantae; Streptophyta; Magnoliopsida; Poales; Poaceae. The record is from RNAcentral.
AUGUGUCCGGGCUCGCAGCAUCGGAGGCCGGUGCCGGCGCGGGUCGUUGUGGAGGAGCCGCGGCAGCUGGCCUACUUCUUGUACCCCGACGAUGCAGAGGGCGGCCGAGGGACGGUCGGAGCGUCGGUUGUGGUGUGCGCGAUCUGCUUGGAGGCGCUGGUCGGCGGUGCGGAGUGCAGCGAGGUGCCGGCGUGCCACCACGUGUUCCACCGUGGCUGCCUUGCGCUGUGGAUCAAGAGCAAGGGCACCUGCCCGCUCUGCAGGGAGCAUGUCAUGCCGGGGCCAGAGCGCCCGUCAGCUACCGAUAACAUGGUUUAG